This 101-nucleotide microRNA precursor is filed under the name Loxodonta africana (African savanna elephant). RNAcentral's name for it is "mir-544 microRNA precursor family". It matches the Rfam family "mir-544 microRNA precursor family". The record is from Rfam by way of RNAcentral. Lineage: Eukaryota; Metazoa; Chordata; Mammalia; Proboscidea; Elephantidae.
AUCACCUGGGGACCUUGUUAAAGGGCAGAUUCUGAUUCGUAGGCCUGCCUGGGUGUGUGCCUGAGACUCUGCAUUUCUAACAAGCUCCCAGUCGAUGCUGG